GGGGCGGGAGACACGGUCGGUGUCCGCCGCGGCAUCCAGCGCGGCGUUGUGCUCGCGACGCUGCUCACCGUGCCGACGGUGUUGCUCCU
Molecule: transfer RNA, 89 nt
Filed under: Gemmatimonadota bacterium
Lineage: Bacteria; Pseudomonadati; Gemmatimonadota
Description: tRNA-Cys
Source: RNAcentral